GGGGUCUUUUAAAUGGAGCCUCGUAUGAACGGCGUAACCUUCUUCAACUGUCUCCCCUCCCACCCCUCUAAAUUCUUUUCUGAGUGAAGAAACCCAGAUAAGCCAGAAAGACGAGAAGACCCUGUCGAGCUUUAACCAUUAGGUGAACUUAAACCCCUUUUAGACAUCACCCAAAGGUUUUGGUUGGGGCAACCAUGGAGAAAAUAAACCCUCCAGAGCAAAUAGAAGAAAGUAAUUCACUAUUACUCCUAACUGAGAACCAGGAACUGGUAUUCAGAAAAAGUUACCGCAGGGGUAACAGCGUAAUCCCCUCUAAGAGUCC
This 322-nucleotide ribosomal RNA is filed under the name Holothuroidea sp. H._cinerascens_9_SEC2. RNAcentral's name for it is "partial large subunit ribosomal RNA". It matches the Rfam family "Archaeal large subunit ribosomal RNA", at positions 2033 to 2570 of the family's 2987-position model. Lineage: Eukaryota; Metazoa; Echinodermata; Holothuroidea. The record is from RNAcentral.